RNAcentral lists this ribosomal RNA (274 nucleotides) under uncultured bacterium. Its description in RNAcentral is "partial 16S ribosomal RNA". It matches the Rfam family "Bacterial small subunit ribosomal RNA", at positions 523 to 796 of the family's 1533-position model. The record is from RNAcentral.
AUACGGAGGGUGCGAGCGUUAAUCGGAAUUACUGGGCGUAAAGCGCGCGUAGGCGGUUUUCCAAGUUGGGGGUGAAAUCCCGAGGCUCAACCUCGGAACUGCCCUCAAAACUGGAUGACUAGAGUCCGGGAGAGGUUGGCGGAAUUCCUAGUGUAGAGGUGAAAGUCGUAGAUAUUAGGAAGAACACCAGUGGCGAAGGCGGCCAACUGGACCGGUUCUGACGCUAAGGAGCGAAAGCGUGGGGAGCAAACGGGAUUAGAAACCCCGGUAGUCC